Molecule: ribosomal RNA, 427 nt
Filed under: uncultured bacterium
Lineage: Bacteria
Description: partial 16S ribosomal RNA
Rfam family: Bacterial small subunit ribosomal RNA
Source: RNAcentral
UGGGGAAUAUUGCACAAUGGGCGCAAGCCUGAUGCAGCCAUGCCGCGUGUAUGAAGAAGGCCUUCGGGUUGUAAAGUACUUUCAGCGGGGAGGAAGGUGUUGUGGUUAAUAACCUCAGCAAUUGACGUUACCCGCAGAAGAAGCACCGGCUAACUCCGUGCCAGCAGCCGCGGUAAUACGGAGGGUGCAAGCGUUAAUCGGAAUUACUGGGCGUAAAGCGCACGCAGGCUGUCAGUCAAGUCGGAUGUGAAAUCCCCGGGCUCAACCUGGGAACUGCAUCCGAAACUGGCAGGCUUGAGUCUUGUAGAGGGGGGUAGAAUUCCAGGUGUAGCGGUGAAAUGCGUAGAGAUCUGGAGGAAUACCGGUGGCGAAGGCGGCCCCCUGGACAAAGACUGACGCUCAGGUGCGAAAGCGUGGGGAGCAAACA